UCAUAAUACCAAACACUCAUGAUUCUUUAUAAGGAUGAAAGUAAGUUCACAUUUGUGUGGUUUGAUGAAUCUAAACCCUAGCUUUAUCCACGGCAGAGAGUUUAUAUGGUGAUAAUGGUGAAAAGGAUUCAUUUUCUUGGAGUAUCUCCAUUAGAUAGUGGUCUUACCAAAAAUUCAAUUGUUGCACUUAUUAGAAAGAUGGAGUAGGUGGUGAAGAGGGCA
Molecule: long non-coding RNA, 222 nt
Organism: Ipomoea nil (Japanese morning glory)
Lineage: Eukaryota; Viridiplantae; Streptophyta; Magnoliopsida; Solanales; Convolvulaceae
Exons: 3
Source: RefSeq, a predicted model, not a curated record